This 301-nucleotide ribosomal RNA is filed under the name uncultured bacterium. RNAcentral describes it as "partial 16S ribosomal RNA". It matches the Rfam family "Bacterial small subunit ribosomal RNA", at positions 509 to 807 of the family's 1533-position model. The record is from RNAcentral.
CAGCAGCCGCGGUAAUACGGAGGGAGCUAGCGUUGUUCGGAAUUACUGGGCGUAAAGCGCACGUAGGCGGUUAUUCAAGUCAGAGGUGAAAGCCCGGGGCUCGACCCCGGAACUGCCUUCGAAACUAGAUGACUGGAAUCUUGGAGAGGUCAGUGGAAUUCCGAGUGUAGAGGUGAAAUUCGUAGAUAUUCGGAAGAACACCAGUGGCGAAGGCGACUGACUGGACAAGUAUUGACGCUGAGGUGCGAAAGCGUGGGGAGCAAACAGGAUUAGAUACCCGCGUAGUCCCUGUCUCUUAUAC